RNAcentral lists this ribosomal RNA (254 nucleotides) under uncultured bacterium. RNAcentral's name for it is "partial 16S ribosomal RNA". It matches the Rfam family "Bacterial small subunit ribosomal RNA", at positions 524 to 776 of the family's 1533-position model. The record is from RNAcentral.
CACGUAGGGUGCGAGCGUUGUCCGGAAUUAUUGGGCGUAAAGAGCUCGUAGGCGGUGUGUCGCGUCGGCCGUGAAAACCUGCAGCUCAACUGUGGGCUUGCGGUCGAUACGGGCAUCACUGGAGUUCGGCAGGGGAGACUGGAAUUCCUGGUGUAGCGGUGAAAUGCGCAGAUAUCAGGAGGAACACCGGUGGCGAAGGCGGGUCUCUGGGCCGAUACUGACGCUGAGGAGCGAAAGCGUGGGGAGCGAACAGG